RNAcentral lists this long non-coding RNA (4571 nucleotides) under Vitis vinifera (wine grape). RNAcentral describes it as "long non-coding RNA (VVIN_LNC000639)". Lineage: Eukaryota; Viridiplantae; Streptophyta; Magnoliopsida; Vitales; Vitaceae. The record is from RNAcentral.
AAGGAUCUCAUUACAAAGAAUCAACGAGGGUGUGGAUGAAGAAAGCUGCAGCACAUCAUCAGUGGCUGAUAAAGGCCAUUUUGUUGUUUACAGCUCUGAUAGAAGACGCUUUGUGAUUCCCUUGAUGUAUCUUGACAGUGAAAUCAUGAGAGAGCUUUUCCAAAUGUCUGAGGAGGAGUAUGGGAUACAAAGUACAGGCCCCAUCAUACUGCCAUGUGAUUCAGUCUUUUUGGACUAUGUGAUCUCAUUCAUCCAACGCGGUGUUGCUAAAGAGUUGGAGAGGGCUUUGAUCAUGUCCAUAGCUCCCAGUAACUGCUCAUCCUCUUCAUACUUCCACCAAGAACAGACCAAUGAGCAAUUACUCUUCUGUGCCUGCUGAAGAAAACUACACUUAAAUUUUGUAAAUGAUCCAACAAAAUUUUUGUUUGAUAAUAUAUAUAGUGAGAAUUCUCAAAGCAUUUUCUUCAUGUCUUCUUGUCUUGCUUGUAGUUAUUGCUUAUUGCCAUCAAAUGGUAAGCAUAUUUGCUGCAGCAUCUAACCAGAUAUUCCCAGGACAAAGCCAUUACUCAAUUUAUUUGCUUGGAAAUAUAAUUCAUCAUCUAAACUAUGAGAAAAAAUGACACUAAUAUAGAAGAAUCAAAUACAAAAUUACUAUAAAUUGCUCACUGUUCUUUCUCAAUUAAUUACAAGAGAGAAGCUGCAGCUCAUCAGAUAAAAUGUGUUGUAAAUGAAUCUUCAAAUGUACUGUCUCCAUUAAAACAUUUUAGUUAAUAUUGGUAACCAUUGAAAAUUCAAAUUUGAACAAACUUGGAUCAUAGAACAAUCUAAAAUGGGCUUUUAAAGCAAUAUCUCAUUCAGACUUCCUCAGCUUUUCCACAAAGGUUCAAUGUCAAGCCUGAUGGCCCCAGCAUAAAACCCUGCUUUUCUUGCCUAAGGCAUUGUUACUAGAUUUGCAACAGGGCUGAACUUCAACAGUAUUUACCAACUUUCACUGACCUGAAAGAAAUGUUUAUAGCAAUUGUAACAGGCUGCUAGGUGUAUCUAGUGAGAGAAAUGGCCUCUAACGGCGACCAGACUAUGGUCCAUGGUCAGGUUGGAGAGGCAACUUCUUAAUGGAUGAUACCUUUGAAGUGAUUCCUGGUAAGAGCUGGCACCUCCCAUUUUGAGGCGGAUGUUUGAGAGGUCCAUCUUAGCUUUCCCAAAUGCUAUUGUGCUAGCUUUCUUUUGCCUUAUCCAAUGCAUAGACUUCUGCGGUUGGAAUGAGCCGACACCUCAACUCAUUGGAGCCAAUAUGUCUGCAGAUCACUUAGCAACAUGUAAGGAUAUGUAUCUUCUGCUAUGUCUGUGGAUAACUUAAAAAAAUGCAAGAGGUGUCUUCUGCUAUGAUCUGCCUGAAAGCAUUGCUUGCAUAACACAACCAAACUUGCCUGCCUGGCUGUCCCUCAAUGCCGUGUGGUCCAACCUGCAUGUGGCUUUGCAUUCAUUGAAUCCCCAAAAAAUGGAGGAUUCAAAUUAUUUACUGUCUCAGGCCUCGUUACUAUAUAACUGACCCACUUCCAUCCUGCAUCCCAAACAUAACAACAAUUCCAUCUUAGUUCUUCGCUUGUUCAAAGUUUCCUCUCUUAUUUACUCAAGUGAAUAAGCAUGAUCAAUCCCAAGAAACUCAUCAAGAUGGCAAGGAAGUGGCAGAAGAUAGCUGCCAUGAAGAGGAAGAGAAUCACUCUACCAAGAACAGAUGAGAUUUUGGAUGCUGAUGGUUGUAGUACAUCCGCAGUGGCAGAUAAAGGCCAUUUUGUUGUUUUCAGUUCUGAUAAGAGACGCUUUGUGAUUCCAUUGGUGUAUCUCAACAAUGAAAUCUUCAGAGAGCUUUUGCAAAUGUCUGAGGAGGAGUUUGGAAUACAAAGUGAAGGCCCCAUCAUAUUGCCAUGUGAUUCAGUCUUCAUGGACUAUGUAAUCUCAUUCAUCCAACAUGGUGUAGCAAAAGAUUUGGAGAGAGCUUUGAUUAUGUCUAUAGCUUCCAGUAGCUGUUCUGCUUCUUCACACAUCCUUCAAGGACAUAACAAUGAACAAAUGCUCUUAUGUGCUUUCUGAAGCAAUUGUGCUCAAACUUUGUAAAUCAUCCACACAGUUUUAGUUUGACUAUAAACACCAAGAGAAUUUUCCAAGUAUUUUCUUCAUGCUUUCUUUUUUUCCCAAUAAAUGACAGCAGAGUGCCUCAAAAUGGUAAACAAGGUUAUUGCAACCAUCUAUCCAAAUAGUGCCAGGGCAAUACUACAUUGCUGAACUGAUAAUAUUACUUUUUUUUCAUCAGAUAGGGGAAAUUUCAUUGAUUGUUUUAUUUAUUUAUUUUAUAAGAAGUGAACCUUGUUCUUUGAUUGAUAUAUAUAUAUAUAUAUGCAUAUAUAUUGAAUCCCAGAAUUCUUAGAGUCUCAGAAUAGACACAAGCAUACCAAACCUUCCAUAUUUUCAAUAUUCAAAUUUCACCUAAAGGGACUUAACCUGGUUGCAUGAAUUAGUUAGCUCUGGAGGUAUUCUUUGAUCUAGUAUUUAAUAAAGAAUCCUCUGAUUUAUGAACUGCCAGCUAAAUUGGUUGUUAGCUGUCGUCAAACCACAAAACAAAUAUAAGUAAAUAUCAUACUCUGUAUGCACCUUGAUUCACUGAUUAGCAACAUAAAAAAACAUUGCUACCAUGUAUUUGUUUUUUGAUGAUGUAACAUAUCACAUGGUUUUGCAUCAACAUUUUCCCCAGGAGAUCAAGAGCUCUCAAUUUUUGAGGCUCCUGCAAGCCCCAAGUCCUAAUUGAUAAGCAAUAUCAGGGAUUUUGAACAGAAUCAAAGACUCAAGGCAGCACUGUCAAAUUCAUAUAUGGGACUACAAACCAUGUACUACUUUCCUCUGUUUUCCCAGCAGCCAAACACAGUGACAAACAAAAGAAACAGGGAAAUGAAAACAAAACAACCUCUUUGUAAGUUGAGUUUUGAGUCAAUCCAAGAGCUAUAGCUGCUUGUCUCUCUUGUCUUAGUUUAGGGGUCUCCAUGGAUUUAUCUGAUGAAAACCACAUUUUUGAAAAGUUCAGAACAGGAGCUAUAUAUAUUGGUUUGGCUCAGAAACCCCAUUUACAAACAGGUAACAUUCUUUACAUUUUUUUGUUUCUUUUUUUCUUAUCACUGUGUUUGCUGCUGGGAAAACAGGGGAGGAGAAAGGUAACAUACGGCUAAUGAUAUCUUAUAUGAAUUGUAUAGUAGUCAAUGAACAGAAGUCAAACAUGUCUAGCUAUCUUCAAUUUUUGGCAAAUCCCACCUGUUCCCUUUGCAUUGUAUGCAAGCCAUGUGCCUUGUUUGGGUCCGAAACUCUGUCCCACAUUCCUAUGGGGGUCAUCAACUAGAAUGUGGGGAUUGCAGGACCUUAAAAAUUGAUGGUAAUGUUUUGGAUUUUUAGUUUGGUUUAAUCUCCAUCUGCAGCCCCACGCAUGAGGAUCGUCAGUUUAUGUGUGAAGGCAUUAGAUGACUUGUACAUUUUGGGUUCUGAAGCCAUGAAUCUCUAAAAUUCCCUAAUGUACCCAAUUGAUAUAAGUAGGCAAAGGGUCUGUUUGCAAAUUGUUCCCUCCAUGAUCCAUUUAUUUCCAGUCUUUCUUCAGACUAUCAAUUGAUAGUUUCCAGCUAAAGGGAUUGGAUCUAUUGUCACAAAACCACUUGGCAGAUAGGACCAGAUAUACUGUGUGGCUGAGCUUUUGAGUCUUCAUGCAGUACCUUCUCAGCCACUUCCUAAAGGCCCCUCCUUGUCCAUGCAGCACAUGGUUUUGCACCCAACCAAGCCUAACACAGAGAAGGUUACAUUUAAGGCGCUGUGCUGGGAGUCCUAAUAUAUAUAAUAGCUCAAUUGCAUUGCCUUCCACUCAGCACAACAUCACCUUUCUAGUGUUCUAACUGCAAAUCUCAUUUCUUUCUCAACAUCCUUGCUUGAAUUAUUCUCCCUCAAAAUUGAGAUUCGGACAGCAUAAUCAGUCCCAAGAAGCUCAUCAGAAUGGCAAGGAAGUGGCAGAAGAUGGCUGCCUUUGGAAGGAAAAGGAUCUCAUUACAAAGAAUCAAUGAGGGUGUGGAUGAAGAAAGCUGCAGCACAUCAUCAGUGGCUGAUAAAGGCCAUUUUGUUGUUUACAGCUCUGACAGAAGACGCUUUGUGAUUCCCUUGGCGUAUCUUGACAGUGAAAUCAUGAGAGAGCUUUUCCAAAUGUCUGAGGAGGAGUUUGGGAUACAAAGUACAGGCCCCAUCAUACUGCCAUGUGAUUCAGUCUUUUUGGACUAGGUGAUCUCAUUCAUCCAACGCGGUGUUGCUAAAGAGUUGGAGAGGGCUUUGAUCAUGUCCAUAGCUCCCAGUAACUGCUCAUCCUCUUCAUACUUCCACCAAGAACAGACCAAUGAGCAAUUACUCUUAUGUGCCUGCUGAAGAAAACUAUACUUAAAUUUUGUAAAAUGAUUCAACAAAAUUUUUGUUUGAUAACAUAUAUAGUGAGAAUUCUCAAAGCAUGUUCUUCAUGUCUUCUUGUCUUCCUCGUAAUGAUCACUUAUUGCCAC